AGAGUUUGAUCCUGGCUCAGGAUGAACGCUAGCUACAGGCUUAACACAUGCAAGUCGAGGGGCAGCAUUUUAGUUUGCUUGCAAACUGAAGAUGGCGACCGGCGCACGGGUGAGUAACACGUAUCCAACCUGCCGAUAACUCCGGAAUAGCCUUUCGAAAGAAAGAUUAAUACCGGAUGGCAUACGAAUAUCGCAUGAUAUUUUUAUUAAAGAAUUUCGGUUAUCGAUGGGGAUGCGUUCCAUUAGUUUGUUGGCGGGGUAACGGCCCACCAAGACUACGAUGGAUAGGGGUUCUGAGAGGAAGGUCCCCCACAUUGGAACUGAGACACGGUCCAAACUCCUACGGGAGGCAGCAGUGAGGAAUAUUGGUCAAUGGGCGCGAGCCUGAACCAGCCAAGUAGCGUGAAGGAUGAAGGCUCUAUGGGUCGUAAACUUCUUUUAUAUGGGAAUAAAGUUUUCCACGUGUGGAAUUUUGUAUGUACCAUAUGAAUAAGGAUCGGCUAACUCCGUGCCAGCAGCCGCGGUAAUACGGAGGAUCCGAGCGUUAUCCGGAUUUAUUGGGUUUAAAGGGAGCGUAGGUGGGUUGUUAAGUCAGUUGUGAAAGUUUGCGGCUCAACCGUAAAAUUGCAGUUGAAACUGGGAGUCUUGAGUACAGUAGAGGUGGGCGGAAUUCGUGGUGUAGCGGUGAAAUGCUUAGAUAUCACGAAGAACUCCGAUUGCGAAGGCAGCUCACUAGUCUGUUACUGACACUGAUGCUCGAAAGUGUGGGUAUCAAACAGGAUUAGAUACCCUGGUAGUCCACACAGUAAACGAUGAAUACUCGCUGUCUGCGAUAUACAGUAAGCGGCCAAGCGAAAGCAUUAAGUAUUCCACCUGGGGAGUACGCCGGCAACGGUGAAACUCAAAGGAAUUGACGGGGGCCCGCACAAGCGGAGGAACAUGUGGUUUAAUUCGAUGAUACGCGAGGAACCUUACCCGGGCUUAAAUUGCAACAGAAUAUAUUGGAAACAGUAUAGCCGUAAGGCUGUUGUGAAGGUGCUGCAUGGUUGUCGUCAGCUCGUGCCGUGAGGUGUCGGCUUAAGUGCCAUAACGAGCGCAACCCUUAUCUUUAGUUACUAACAGGUUAUGCUGAGGACUCUAGAGAGACUGCCGUCGUAAGAUGUGAGGAAGGUGGGGAUGACGUCAAAUCAGCACGGCCCUUACGUCCGGGGCUACACACGUGUUACAAUGGGGGGUACAGAAGGCGGCUACCUGGUGACAGGAUGCUAAUCCCAAAAACCUCUCUCAGUUCGGAUCGAAGUCUGCAACCCGACUUCGUGAAGCUGGAUUCGCUAGUAAUCGCGCAUCAGCCAUGGCGCGGUGAAUACGUUCCCGGGCCUUGUACACACCGCCCGUCAAGCCAUGAAAGCCGGGGGUACCUGAAGUACGUAACCGCAAGGAGCGUCCUAGGGUAAAACUGGUAAUUGGGGCUAAGUCGUAACAAG
Molecule: ribosomal RNA, 1484 nt
Filed under: metagenome
Description: bacterial SSU rRNA
Rfam family: Bacterial small subunit ribosomal RNA
Source: RNAcentral